GACGAACCGUGCGAACGUUAUUCGGAUUUAUUGGGCUUAAAGAGUGCGUAGGUGGCAGUGUAAGUCGGGGGUGAAAUACUAUCGGCUCAACCGUGGAAUUGCCUUCGAAACUAAUUGACUAGAAGAUGGUAGAGGAAGGUGGAAUUCCAAGUGUAGAGGUGAAAUUCGUAGAUAUUUGGAGGAAUACCGGCGGCGAAGGCGGCAUCCUGGACCGACAUUGACGCUGAUGAGCGAAAGCUAGGGGAGCAAACGGG
This 254-nucleotide ribosomal RNA is filed under the name uncultured bacterium. Its description in RNAcentral is "partial 16S ribosomal RNA". It matches the Rfam family "Bacterial small subunit ribosomal RNA", at positions 524 to 776 of the family's 1533-position model. The record is from RNAcentral.